CACAGUUUGUUUUAUGUCUGACACUUGAGACUGGUGUUAUGGGACAUAAGCCAAGUAUCACCUAAACCAAACAACUAAAAAUGAACAGGAGUUGUUUGGUUCAAGUCCUCAAACUGUCAGAGAUUUGCUGAAGAUGGCAUUUAAGAUAUUCAAACUUAUAUGACAGACAGAGACUCUCAGAUCCUAGCAGUGACUCCCAGGUCCCCAAGAAGACAAUGGGUACAGCGACAGGCAACUCCACCUGGACUACGGAAAGCCUCUCAUCCUCUGGGCCUGGCAGCCAAGACUGCUGUCCUGAUAACCCUGCCCUCAUCGCCAUAGAGUCCAUAGGAGCCUGGGAUAUUUGUCUAGAUUUAACAGACACCAUCCAGGGAAGACCUGUGGACUGCAAACUGCUGAGCUCUGGACUUGCUGAAAGCUGAUGUGAACCAAUCCAGCCAAUGUAAUUGCUCCCUGUCCCUUCCACCAGGAACAGCUAACCAGAUGCUCCUGAUAAAUGCCCCAUUGCUCAGCCUUUGACUAGCCUUUCAGCUUUCCUGGGCCCUGACAAUCGACACCCCAAUUUCAGCUGGAGCAGCUACAGAAGAGAGUAUAUCAUCCCUGUCCCCUUAAUAUGCUAAGUCAAAGGCAUAUUCCCUUUGGGGGGAAACCUGUUGCUUACAUGUCAAUCAUUCUGAGAAAGUCCAGCAAAAGUAAAACUUUGACCAUGCAGAAUGAAACUCAUUAUGCAGCCCCAUCUGGAUGAUGGGCCUGCAACACUGAGUUAACCUCAUGCAUUUAUGGUAUGGUCCUAAAUGCAGGAAAGGGGUACUGUAUGUUGGUCUAGCUCUUCCCCAACUGCUCUUAAGGUGAACAAAAAUUGUUAUCCCCUAAAACCCCCAGACACACAGGACACAUGAUUAUGUCCUCUCUAGUUACUUGUAGAGGGGGGAAUGAAGAGGCCUAAUUUAACAUUAGUGCGGCCAUGACAGGCUACAGACUAACAGUACUGGGACUAGGCCUCAACAUUAUAAUAACCAGGAAAAACCACAAACUGUACCCUUCGGGAAACCAAUUGGAAUUGAGACAAAUAAGUACUAGAUGCUCUAAAACAUAAAGGAUAGCUUACAUAAUCUGUAUACAGGUUGCUAAUUUCCUUGCAGCAACACCAGUACCAAUCCCUGUUUGACAAGACUUCUGUUAUCUCCCUCGUGCCCAAUCAGGCGUUCAGCCCCCAUCUGAAUCUGAAUUCCCCUACCCCCUAUCUUUUACUCCUUAAAAACCCUGCCAUAACUGAGCUCAGUGCUCUC
Long non-coding RNA from Peromyscus eremicus (cactus mouse), 1289 nucleotides. RefSeq lists it as uncharacterized. Lineage: Eukaryota; Metazoa; Chordata; Mammalia; Rodentia; Cricetidae. The transcript has 4 exons. The record is from RefSeq and is a predicted model, not a curated record.